GGGAAUCUACCCUUCUCUACGGGAUAGCUCCGGGAAACUGGAAUUAAUACCGUAUACGUCCUGAGGGAGAAAGAUUUAUCGGGGAAGGAUGAGCCCGCGUUGGAUUAGCUAGUUGGUGGGGUAAAGGCCUACCAAGGCGACGAUCCAUAGCUGGUCUAAGAGGAUGAUCAGCCACAUUGGGACUGAGACACGGCCCAAACUCCUACGGGAGGCAGCAGUGGGGAAUAUUGGACAAUGGGCGCAAGCCUGAUCCAGCCAUGCCGCGUGAGUGAUGAAGGCCCUAGGGUUGUAAAGCUCUUUCAGUGGGGACGAUAAUGACGGUACCCACAGAAGAAGCCCCGGCUAACUUCGUGCCAGCAGCCGCGGUAAUACGAAGGGGGCUAGCGUUGUUCGGAAUUACUGGGCGUAAAGCGCACGUAGGCGGAUAUUUAAGUCAGGGGUGAAAUCCCGGGGCUCAACCCCGGAACUGCCUUUGAUACUGGAUAUCUUGAGUUCGGAAGAGGUAAGUGGAAUUGCGAGU
RNAcentral lists this ribosomal RNA (520 nucleotides) under uncultured bacterium. RNAcentral describes it as "bacterial SSU rRNA". It matches the Rfam family "Bacterial small subunit ribosomal RNA", at positions 120 to 674 of the family's 1533-position model. The record is from RNAcentral.